Non-coding RNA from Morus notabilis, 119 nucleotides. Lineage: Eukaryota; Viridiplantae; Streptophyta; Magnoliopsida; Rosales; Moraceae. The record is from Rfam.
AUCCCAAAUAAACCUUUUUUAUGUUUAUCUGAUUCAUGGGAGGCAGAUAUGAAAAAUGGUAGUUCGCUGAUAGUGCCUUUUCUAUUAGAAGGUAUGCUAAUAGUACUUACCGCACAUAC